RNAcentral lists this ribosomal RNA (497 nucleotides) under uncultured bacterium. RNAcentral's name for it is "partial 16S ribosomal RNA". It matches the Rfam family "Bacterial small subunit ribosomal RNA", at positions 28 to 507 of the family's 1533-position model. The record is from RNAcentral.
GAUGAACGCUGGCGGCGUGCCUAAUACAUGCAAGUCGAGCGAACAGACGAGGAGCUUGCUCCUCUGACGUUAGCGGCGGACGGGUGAGUAACUCGUGGAUAACCUACCUAUAAGACUGGGAUAACUUCGGGAAACCGGAGCUAAUACCGGAUAAUAUAUUGAACCGCAUGGUUCAAUAGUGAAAGACGGUUUUGCUGUCACUUAUAGAUGGAUCCGCGCCGCAUUAGCUAGUUGGUAAGGUAACGGCUUACCAAGGCGACGAUGCGUAGCCGACCUGAGAGGGUGAUCGGCCACACUGGAACUGAGACACGGUCCAGACUCCUACGGGAGGCAGCAGUAGGGAAUCUUCCGCAAUGGGCGAAAGCCUGACGGAGCAACGCCGCGUGAGUGAUGAAGGUCUUCGGAUCGUAAAACUCUGUUAUUAGGGAAGAACAAAUGUGUAAGUAACUAUGCACGUCUUGACGGUACCUAAUCAGAAAGCCACGGCUAACUACGUG